Long non-coding RNA from Mytilus californianus (California mussel), 545 nucleotides. RefSeq lists it as uncharacterized. The transcript is spliced from 3 exons. The record is from RefSeq and is a predicted model, not a curated record. NCBI's taxonomy places the organism in Eukaryota, Metazoa, Mollusca, Bivalvia, Mytilida, Mytilidae.
GCAUAUGUUUUCCCAACUGACAACAGGGAAACUAUUAUUCAGAACGGAAUAAAAAAUAUAAAAGUAGCUAUACAAGAUGGCUACCUUUUUGACAGAAGAGGAAACAAAUUAUCUUCGUAUGGUUUCAUUGAUGAUUGGCGUUUGUCCAAAAGCAGUGCGCACUUUUUUUGAUGGUAUAUUCCCUCCGGCAAAUCUGGCUGCUGAUUUACAUACCCAUACCCCAGCACUGAAUAAGAUAAGAAAGAAGAACGUGCUGAAUUCAUCUCAAUGGGCACUUUUAUUUCCUACAGGUUCCUCAAACGUAACUUCUAGCAACUUCGACUUGACAUUACUGAUAUGCCUGUUGAGGAACAUUUCAAAAAUUAGCAAACCAACCAGAGGUUUUGAUGUUCUUCCCGCAAUAACAGAUGUUAGUCCAGCAGACGAUCUUGCAAGGAUAAAGUAUUACAGGAAUAUGAUUGCUCAUUCGGAUGACAGCAAAAUGUCGAAUCAAACUUUUAAUGAUGCUUGGAUCAAUGUUGCUGAGGUAUUACCAUCGUUAUUCA